UGGGCAACCUGCCCCUCUCUCUGGGAUAACCCCGGGAAACCGGAAGCUAAUACCGGAUACUCCGGCUGGAUCGCAUGGUCCGGCCGGGAAAGGUCCGCCGGAGAGGGAUGGGCCCGCGGCCUAUCAGCUUGUUGG
This 135-nucleotide ribosomal RNA is filed under the name uncultured bacterium. RNAcentral's name for it is "partial 16S ribosomal RNA". It matches the Rfam family "Bacterial small subunit ribosomal RNA", at positions 118 to 252 of the family's 1533-position model. The record is from RNAcentral.